This 322-nucleotide ribosomal RNA is filed under the name uncultured eukaryote. RNAcentral describes it as "partial 18S ribosomal RNA". It matches the Rfam family "Eukaryotic small subunit ribosomal RNA", at positions 1470 to 1796 of the family's 1831-position model. The record is from RNAcentral.
CCCUUAGAUGUUCUGGGCCGCACGCGUGCUACACUGAGUGGAUCAGCGGGUCAGGUUGCGCGAAAGCGUUUCCUAAUCUUUAAAUCCGCUCGUGAUGGGGCUUGACGGUUGCAAUUUUCUGUCAUGAACGAGGAAUACCUUGUAAGCGCGGGUCAUCAUCCCGCGCUGAAUACGUCCCUGCCCUUUGUACACACCGCCCGUCGCUCCUACCGAUUGAGUGGUCCGGUGAGGCUUUGGGAUCUGAGCGGAAAGAGCGUUUCGCUGUUUCUGCUCGGAAAACUCAGUCGAACCUUAUCAUUUAGAGGAAGGAGAAGUCGUAACA